UUGGCGGACGGGUGAGUAACGCGUGGGCAACCUGCCCCGUNCCGGGGGAUACCGCCUGGAAACAGGCGCUAAUACCGCAUAAGCGCAUACAGCCGCAUGGCAGUAUGCGGAAAGCUCCGGCGGCACGGGAUGGGCCCGCGCCCGAUUAGCCAGUUGGCGGGGUAACGGCCCACCAAAGCGACGAUCGGUAGCCGGCCUGAGAGGGCGGACGGCCACAUUGGGACUGAGACACGGCCCAAACUCCUACGGGAGGCAGCAG
RNAcentral lists this ribosomal RNA (259 nucleotides) under uncultured bacterium. RNAcentral's name for it is "partial 16S ribosomal RNA". It matches the Rfam family "Bacterial small subunit ribosomal RNA", at positions 95 to 354 of the family's 1533-position model. The record is from RNAcentral.